UUGGAUGGAUGUGGCGAGGCCAGACAAUGGUCAGCCUUGACUUUCCCUGUGGUGGAUUGGAUUGAACGCUCCAAUUCUUGCCUCUUGUCUGCCUCCACAUCCUUGUCACGAUCUCAUUGUGGGAAGAAUAUACCUUUUUUGUCCCUUAACUUUGAGCUCUGCCAGUGACUGUGUGCCAUCUCCAGCUGCAGCCUUGCCCUCUUGCCCUGCAGCCAUCGCUGUGAGAAGAGCACAUCCUAGCAGAACCCGUGAUGGAGAGGAGGUUGCCCUGCAGUGAAACAGAGCUGCCCCAGCUGCCCAGCCUGCUGUGGAGCCUGCAGCCCAGCCCAGCCCAGGUCAUGUAUCUAGUUGGACUGGCUCUUCCACUGUGGAGUGUCCCAUUUGAACCAGUUACUGAUGUAUGGCCUCCAAGCUCCAGAUCAACCCUUCCUGGCCCUGCUGGUGACAUCAGAGAUGGACUCUGUAAAUGUUCCUCCCUUGCCACCUGCCACGAUGUUACGUUUUGUCAGUAGCCAGCCACUGAGGGACAUUGCAAGUGGCAGAGGCUUUCUUCCUGGUCCCAGUGUUUUUCCUCUUGCUCCUGCAAUACUGCAGCUGGUGGGGCCAGUGGGAGACCCAGAGAUGUGAACCCUCCUGGAAGGUUCACUGUCACCCCAACAGGAGGCUUCCUGGAAAGUUUCCCCAGCACCCAGCAGGUGGUUUUCUGCUUGCCAGCCAUGGUCUGCAGCACCUCAGCAAACUCUUAUCCCAUCCAGUGGCCACAUCUUUCAUCAACGAUGUGCAUCUCAGCCUUGGAGGGGAGGCUUCGUCCAAGCUUGUCUUCCUUGAAUAUUUUGCCUCGGCCCUAGAGGUAGUGUUUUUUCUCUACAUCUGCUAUUCCUAUAAUCUGUCUUGUUUUGUUUUCUAAUUGAAGUCCCUUACUGGUCCUGCUUCUACGAGUGGCGGUGACCAGGUGAAAAGGGAGAGGAAUCAGCCGGCCCAGGGAGGGUCACCUCUACCACAUUCCACUCACACACAGAAUGGAACACACAAGCACAGAGUCAACAGUUAUUGUGAUUAGAAGUUGGUAGCAUGGGGUGGCCAGGUGCAGUGGCUCAUGCCUGUAAUCCCAGUACUUUAGGAGGCUGAGGUGGGUGGAUCACCUGAGGCCGAGAUAAGCCUGACCAACAU
This is a long non-coding RNA of Homo sapiens (human), 1170 nucleotides long. NCBI's taxonomy places the organism in Eukaryota, Metazoa, Chordata, Mammalia, Primates, Hominidae. The record is from Ensembl.